RNAcentral lists this ribosomal RNA (604 nucleotides) under Aspergillus oryzae. RNAcentral's name for it is "eukaryotic LSU rRNA". The stretch from base 217 to 370 matches the Rfam family "5.8S ribosomal RNA". The record is from RNAcentral. Lineage: Eukaryota; Fungi; Ascomycota; Eurotiomycetes; Eurotiales; Aspergillaceae.
UCCGUAGGUGAACCUGCGGAAGGAUCAUUACCGAGUGUAGGGUUCCUAGCGAGCCCAACCUCCCACCCCGUGUUUUACUCGUACCUUAGUUGCUUCGGCGGGCCCGCCUAUUUAUGGCCGCCGGGGGCUCUCAGCCCCGGGCCCGCGCCCGCCGGAGACACCACGAACUCUGUCUGAUCUAGUGAAGUCUGAGUUGAUUGUAUCGCAAUCAGUUAAAACUUUCAACAAUGGAUCUCUUGGUUCCGGCAUCGAUGAAGAACGCAGCGAAAUGCGAUAACUAGUGUGAAUUGCAGAAUUCCGUGAAUCAUCGAGUCUUUGAACGCACAUUGCGCCCCCUGGUAUUCCGGGGGGCAUGCCUGUCCGAGCGUCAUUGCUGCCCAUCAAGCACGGCUUGUGUGUUGGGUCGUCGUCCCCUCUCCGGGGGGGACGGGCCCCAAAGGCAGCGGCGGCACCGCGUCCGAUCCUCGAGCGUAUGGGGCUUUGUCACCCGCUCUGUAGGCCCGGCCGGCGCUUGCCGAACGCAAAUCAAUCUUUUUCCAGGUUGACCUCGGAUCCCAGGUAGGGAUCCCCGCAUGCCCUUAAGCAUAUCAAUAAGCGGAGGAAG